UCGCCCUCGGCUCUUGUUCCGCGCCCGGAGCCAGCGGCGGCGGCUGGGGCUGAGGCGGCUGCGGGAGCGGAGCGGUCGCCGGGCGCGCGGGGGGGACGCCGGCUGCACUCCCGGGCAGGCGCUCUGCAAUGAGACAGUAAAUGCAUCCCCCGAAGGAAAAUGUGGGUGGUUUUUCCCUUCCUUUUGCCUCUCGUGAGUGAUGCCAAUGCAGAAAAAACCCCGCAAACCUCCCAGAUGUGAUGUUCUAGGAGGGCUUUCUGCAGGAAAAUAAAAAUAAAAUGAAAUCAAUG
Myotis lucifugus (little brown bat) is the source of this 290-nucleotide long non-coding RNA. RefSeq lists it as uncharacterized. NCBI's taxonomy places the organism in Eukaryota, Metazoa, Chordata, Mammalia, Chiroptera, Vespertilionidae. The transcript is spliced from 2 exons. The record is from RefSeq and is a predicted model, not a curated record.